UUCCUGGUAGUCCAGUGGUUAAAACUUGGACUUUCACUGCCAUGGACCCAGGUUCGAUCCCUGGCUGGGGAA
RNAcentral lists this transfer RNA (72 nucleotides) under Bos taurus (domestic cattle). It matches the Rfam family "tRNA". Rfam says of the family: Transfer RNA (tRNA) molecules are approximately 80 nucleotides in length. Their secondary structure includes four short double-helical elements and three loops (D, anti-codon, and T loops). Lineage: Eukaryota; Metazoa; Chordata; Mammalia; Artiodactyla; Bovidae. RNAcentral also lists the same sequence under 5 other names. The record is from Rfam by way of RNAcentral.